This 427-nucleotide ribosomal RNA is filed under the name uncultured bacterium. Its description in RNAcentral is "bacterial SSU rRNA". It matches the Rfam family "Bacterial small subunit ribosomal RNA", at positions 355 to 774 of the family's 1533-position model. The record is from RNAcentral.
UGAGGAAUAUUGGACAAUGGGCGAAAGCCUGAUCCAGCAAUGCCGCGUGCAGGAUGAAGGCCUUCGGGUUGUAAACUGCUUUUGUACGGAACGAAAAAGCUUCUCCUAAUACGAGAGGCCCAUGACGGUACCGUAAGAAUAAGCACCGGCUAACUACGUGCCAGCAGCCGCGGUAAUACGUAGGGUGCGAGCGUUAAUCGGAAUUACUGGGCGUAAAGCGUGCGCAGGCGGUUAUAUAAGACAGAUGUGAAAUCCCCGGGCUCAACCUGGGAACUGCAUUUGUGACUGUAUAGCUAGAGUACGGCAGAGGGGGAUGGAAUUCCGCGUGUAGCAGUGAAAUGCGUAGAUAUGCGGAGGAACACCGAUGGCGAAGGCAAUCCCCUGGACCUGUACUGACGCUCAUGCACGAAAGCGUGGGGAGCAAACA